CCCUGGUGGCUCAGAUGGUAAAGAAUCUGCCUGUAAUGCAGGAGUCCUGGGUUCCAACCCCAGGACAGGGA
RNAcentral lists this transfer RNA (71 nucleotides) under Bos taurus (domestic cattle). It matches the Rfam family "tRNA". Rfam says of the family: Transfer RNA (tRNA) molecules are approximately 80 nucleotides in length. Their secondary structure includes four short double-helical elements and three loops (D, anti-codon, and T loops). Further hydrogen bonds mediate the characteristic L-shaped molecular structure. tRNAs have two regions of fundamental functional importance: the anti-codon, which is responsible for specific mRNA codon recognition, and the 3' end, to which the tRNAs corresponding amino acid is attached (by aminoacyl-tRNA synthetases). tRNAs cope with the degeneracy of the genetic code in two manners: having more than one tRNA (with a specific anti-codon) for a particular amino acid; and 'wobble' base-pairing, i.e. permitting non-standard base-pairing at the 3rd anti-codon position. Lineage: Eukaryota; Metazoa; Chordata; Mammalia; Artiodactyla; Bovidae. The record is from Rfam by way of RNAcentral. RNAcentral also lists the same sequence under 2 other names.